AACGAACGCUGGCGGCAGGCCUAACACAUGCAAGUCGAACGCCCCUUACGGGGAGUGGCAGACGGGUGAGUAACGCGUGGGAAUCUACCGUGCCCUGCGGAAUAGCUCCGGGAAACUGGAAUUAAUACCGCAUACGCCCUACGGGGGAAAGAUUUAACGGGGGAGGAUGAGCCCGCGUUGGAUUAGCUAGUUGGUGGGGUAAAGGCCUACCAAGGCGACGAUCCAUAGCUGGUCUGAGAGGAUGAUCAGCCACAUUGGGACUGAGACACGGCCCAAACUCCUACGGGAGGCAGCAGUGGGGAAUAUUGGACAAUGGGCGCAAGCCUGAUCCAGCCAUGCCGCGUGAGUGAUGAAGGCCUUAGGGUUGUAAAGCUCUUUCACCGAUGAAGAUAAUGACGGUAGUCGGAGAAGAAGCCCCGGCUAACUUCGUGCCAGCCGCCGCGGUAA
Molecule: ribosomal RNA, 447 nt
Filed under: uncultured bacterium
Lineage: Bacteria
Description: partial 16S ribosomal RNA
Rfam family: Bacterial small subunit ribosomal RNA
Source: RNAcentral